Molecule: ribosomal RNA, 329 nt
Filed under: uncultured eukaryote
Lineage: Eukaryota
Description: partial 18S ribosomal RNA
Rfam family: Eukaryotic small subunit ribosomal RNA
Source: RNAcentral
CCCUUAGAUGUUCUGGGCCGCACGCGCGCUACACUGACAGAGCCAGCGAGUUCUUUUCCUUGGCCGGAAGGUCUGGGUAAUCUUGUGAAACUCUGUCGUGCUGGGGAUAGAGCAUUGCAAUUAUUGCUCUUCAACGAGGAAUUCCUAGUAAGCGUGAGUCAUCAGCUCGCGUUGAUUACGUCCCUGCCCUUUGUACACACCGCCCGUCGCUACUACCGAUUGAAUGGCUUAGUGAGGUCUUGGGAUUGGCUUCGGGGAGCCGGCAACGGCACCCUGUCGCUGAGAACUUGAUCAAACUUGGUCAUUUAGAGGAAGUAAAAGUCGUANCA